Molecule: ribosomal RNA, 486 nt
Filed under: Nakazawaea holstii
Lineage: Eukaryota; Fungi; Ascomycota; Pichiomycetes; Alaninales; Pachysolenaceae
Description: eukaryotic LSU rRNA
Rfam family: 5.8S ribosomal RNA (bases 122-275)
Source: RNAcentral
UGGAUGGGGGUAAAAGCUCGUCUGCCAGAGGUUUAACCAAAACUCUAACUUAAAAACUUGAUUUUUUAAAUUGUCAUUUUUGAAAUUUGUCUGAUUAACUUCGGAUGAAACAAAUAUUCAAAACUUUCAACAACGGAUCUCUUGGUUCUCGCAUCGAUGAAGAACGCAGCGAAUUGCGAUAAGUAUUGUGAAUUGCAGAAUUUCGUGAAUCAUCGAAUCUUUGAACGCACAUUGCACCCUGUGGUAUUCCACAGGGUAUGCCUGUUUGAGCGUCAUUUCUCUCUCAAAACGCAAGUUUUGGUGUUGAGUGAUACUCGGGUUAAAUGGCUUGAGUUUGCUUGAAAAGUAUUGGCAAGGGAAGUGAGACUUCACUACAGCUGUUUAUUCAAUGUAUUAGGUUUAUCCAACCUCGUUGAUUGACAGGUGGAAUGAGAUUUUGCUAAUAGGCCCGGCCUUNCAACAAACAAACCAAAGUUGACCUCNANC